GCGCUGGACCGUGCACMAGUCUCCUGGAAUGGAGCGUCAUAGAGGGUGAGAMUCCCGUCUUUGGCAUGGAUCCCAGGGCUUCUGUGAUGCGCUCUCGACGAGUCGAGUUGUUUGGGAAUGCAGCUCAAAAUGGGUGGUGAACUCCAUCUAAAGCUAAAUAUUGGCGAGAGACCGAUAGCGAACAAGUACCGUGAGGGAAAGAUGAAAAGCACUUUGGAAAGAGAGUGAAACAGUACGUGAAAUUGUUGAAAGGGAAACGCUUGAAGUCAGUCGCGUUGACCGAGACUCAACCUUGCCUUGGCUUGGUGUAUUUCUCGGCUGACGGGUCAGCAUCAAUUUUGACCCUCAGAUAAUGGCAAGGGAAARGUGGCACCUUUUAGGUGUGUUAUAGWCCCAUGUCGCAUGUGAGGGUUGGGAUUGAGGAACUCAGCAUGCACCUCCWGGUGUCGSGGCUUUGGCCCACGUUACAUGCUUAGGAUGCUGGCGUAAUGGCUUUUAACGACCCGUCUUGAAACACKGACCAAGKAGUCUAACWUACCCGCGWGUGUUCUGGUGGAAAACCCGUGCGCGUAWUKAAAGUWAAAGUUGGGACCUCUGUCGUGGAGGGACC
Molecule: ribosomal RNA, 610 nt
Filed under: Russula puiggarii
Lineage: Eukaryota; Fungi; Basidiomycota; Agaricomycetes; Russulales; Russulaceae
Description: partial 28S ribosomal RNA
Rfam family: Eukaryotic large subunit ribosomal RNA
Source: RNAcentral